GCAGGUAUCUUAUAACGGUUAAUAGGUCGGAUUUCCAAUCCGAAGAUGUGGGUUCGACUCCCAUUACCUGCUCCA
Molecule: transfer RNA, 75 nt
Filed under: Butyricicoccus sp. AM28-25
Lineage: Bacteria; Bacillati; Bacillota; Clostridia; Eubacteriales; Butyricicoccaceae
Also listed under: 1 other name
Description: tRNA-Gly
Rfam family: tRNA
About the family: Transfer RNA (tRNA) molecules are approximately 80 nucleotides in length. Their secondary structure includes four short double-helical elements and three loops (D, anti-codon, and T loops). Further hydrogen bonds mediate the characteristic L-shaped molecular structure. tRNAs have two regions of fundamental functional importance: the anti-codon, which is responsible for specific mRNA codon recognition, and the 3' end, to which the tRNAs corresponding amino acid is attached (by aminoacyl-tRNA synthetases). tRNAs cope with the degeneracy of the genetic code in two manners: having more than one tRNA (with a specific anti-codon) for a particular amino acid; and 'wobble' base-pairing, i.e. permitting non-standard base-pairing at the 3rd anti-codon position.
Source: RNAcentral